This is a long non-coding RNA of Triticum dicoccoides, 1995 nucleotides long. RefSeq lists it as uncharacterized. The record is from RefSeq and is a predicted model, not a curated record. The transcript has 4 exons. Lineage: Eukaryota; Viridiplantae; Streptophyta; Magnoliopsida; Poales; Poaceae.
CAUCUAUCCCUUCGGGUGCCGCAGAACGGCAGAAGUCAAUAAGCUCGGAGCCAUGGCGACGAUGGAGGCGGGAGAUGAGGGAUUCGAGUUCCUAUCAUAUCCGGUUGACAGCUUGGUACUGCGCUCCUUUCUUCUCCACAGGUUUCCCCUACCGGAUCUUGCCGCUGGCGAUUGCAAUGCAUACUGGCCGGCGAAACCAAUCAAACUCUGGUCUGCGUGGCUGCUGAUUCGAGCGUUGGUGAUGUGGUGAUGCAUCGCUGACAGUACAGCUAGAUUUAAAGAGCACUCGCGAGGGGGUGGCCUUGUCCGCACCCAACUCAGAGCAGUCAACUGACAAAGAUGAUCGUCAGGCGCCCGAUUGGACCAAGAGGGUACGCAUUGGACAUUCACCUACCGAACAUCCACCCUGUGCUAGCAGAUUUAGUGCCAUGGCGAAAACAUUGGAAUGUUAUGCAGACAAAAAGGCUGAUACAGUCAUAGUUCCUGCAAUUGGAAGUAAUUUUGAUUCACUGGGAGAAGCAUAUGCCUAUUAACAAUUUGUAUUCCUGGGAAAUUGGGUUCGGAAUUAGGUACAUCAAGAGCAGACUCGACAUCGACAGGACAAAAUGUAUGCAGGAUAUUGGUUGCUCGGGGAUCCCAAAAGGAACACACGAUCUUACCGGUGCUGGUGCCCCGCGAUGAUUUGGUUACUCCGGUUAAACGACAAUGGCUAGUACAUAGGCAUGCAUAAGCCAGCACACGAAAACUCAUUGAUGGAAAAGUAUGGUGUGAAGUUAUAUAUGAAUCAAUCCAGUACAAAGUAGAGGAGAUCAGUAAAGGGGAAAACCUAUUUUAUGCGGUGAUAUCAUCCAGAGAAACACGAGAAGUGGUGCAGGGUUGUGUAUAAAGUGGAAUUUGUUGAGGAGGGGAGGGACCUGAUAUGUGAGUGCUAAUUCUGAGCACACAGGCUUCUUGUGCUGCCAUUUAGUUAAGGUAACGAAAAAACCAUCCCUUCUAACCCAGGUUUCUUUUUGUUGAACACCAUAAUUAAGCGUAGCAGCUAUGUGAUUGCGGGUCCUCGAUUUCCUCAGUAUAGACCAGAUACCAGCAAAGCAUAUUUUGAAAUGUUGGACAAAAGUUGCAAGUAAUGCCAACCACUUGUCACAUCUUCAAAAGGAUAGCAUUUCUGUGAACUCAAUAACAUUCAGGUACUCAAAUCUGUACACACAUGCUCUUGAGGUUGUGAGACUGGGAGAUGCAAACACUGAAUAUUUUGAAGACAACAAUAUUUUGAAGACAACAGUGGAUAAUUUGACACGUAUAGCCGCUGUGCGGGAUGGAAUGGGGUUGGAAGACAAAAUUCAGGCAAACAAGGGGAAAGACAAAGAAGUGUUCCCAGCGUGCGCAACCGACAACAGGUGUGGAAGCGAUGUUGAAGGUAGUGCAAUUGGUAAUUUCGUAGGUCUAAAAGCUCCAGAAUGGAAAGGAAAGACUGGUCGACCAACCACAAGCAGGGAAUAAGCCUCCAUCUGAUGAUCGCGGCGCAAAAAGUAAGAAGUACAAAUGGGCAACAAAUGCACAAGCUGACGGAUGCAGUACAAGUAAACGCACUCGCUUCUUUAGUAUAUGUCGGGAGCCAGGUCACAAGAGCACCACAUGUCCACAGAGAAGUGAUCUUCCUCAAAAAGAAAGAAAAGAGGCAAAAUGUUCAGACUGUGGCGUCGGUGGUCACAGGAAGAACACUUGCAACAAGCCAAAGGUCGUGCUGCAUGUUGUUGAAAAUGCUACUUUAGAGGCAAAUGCAAUUUUUGGGUGACUUCGUUUAGAUUCAGUAUUUAUGUUCUGUGUUGUUGAGGGCUCCAUAGCCGCUAACUGUAAGAUUGUGUUGUUGUAAUAUUAACUACUACAGUUGUUAGUUGUGCUCACUUUGUCACUGGGAUGUGUUUAUCAUCUAAGGAAUUAUGUACGAAGUUACCUACUGUUCACCUUGAAUUUCACUGCGUUUUUAAAAUUUAA